AAAGAUGUGGAUGAAUAGAAUUAAUUUUAUUGAUGAUCAAUUUAAAAUGCCCAAACAAUGUUCACUUCCCCCUUAGGCAUAGGAGAAGGAUUUUAAAGACAUAUAAAAGCAAUUACUUAGAUCGAUGCAAAAUAACAGGAAUAUCAACGACAGUCCAAUUGUUACAUGUCUUUCCAUGCAUUACAAAGUUGGUGUAGUCUUCCUCUU
RNAcentral lists this long non-coding RNA (207 nucleotides) under Lathyrus oleraceus (garden pea). RNAcentral's name for it is "Pisum sativum (pea) long non-coding RNA (PSAT_LNC038413)". The record is from RNAcentral. Lineage: Eukaryota; Viridiplantae; Streptophyta; Magnoliopsida; Fabales; Fabaceae.